Long non-coding RNA from Entelurus aequoreus (snake pipefish), 170 nucleotides. RefSeq lists it as uncharacterized. The transcript has 3 exons. NCBI's taxonomy places the organism in Eukaryota, Metazoa, Chordata, Actinopteri, Syngnathiformes, Syngnathidae. The record is from RefSeq and is a predicted model, not a curated record.
ACAAUUGUCCAAUCAGCGGACAGCAGCUGCACCCUCGUGGGCGUAACACACCAAGAAGAGAGGACUACAGCGUGUGGACAUGACAAAAGCCUGCAGGAAGCAGGACACGCAUGCGCACAUUCCAGCUUUUUACAGCAAGGAGAAUCAACCCACAUGGACACACAUUUAGG